Molecule: ribosomal RNA, 482 nt
Filed under: uncultured bacterium
Lineage: Bacteria
Description: partial 16S ribosomal RNA
Rfam family: Bacterial small subunit ribosomal RNA
Source: RNAcentral
AUUGAACGCUGGCGGCAUGCCUUACACAUGCAAAUCGAACGGUAACGGGCCUUCGGGUGCCGACGAGUGGCGAACGGGUGCGUAAUACAUCGGAACGUGCCCGAUCGUGGGGGAUAACGAGGCGAAAGCUUUGCUAAUACCGCAUACGAUCUACGGAUGAAAGCAGGGGACCGCAAGGCCUUGCGCGGACGGAGCGGCCGAUGGCAGAUUAGGUAGUUGGUGGGAUAAAAGCUUACCAAGCCGACGAUCUGUAGCUGGUCUGAGAGGAUGAUCAGCCACACUGGGACUGAGACACGGCCCAGACUCCUACGGGAGGCAGCAGUGGGGAAUUUUGGACAAUGGGCGCAAGCCUGAUCCAGCCAUGCCGCGUGCAGGAUGAAGGCCUUCGGGUUGUAAACUGAUUUUGUACGGAACGAAAAGCCUUCUUUUAAUACAGGAGGGUCAUGACGGUACCGUAAGAAUAAGCACCGGCUAACUACGUG